CUGGGCUGGAUGAGUGGCGAACGGGUGAGUAACACGUGAGUAACCUGCCCUCUUCUUUGGGAUAACGGUCGGAAACGGCUGCUAAUACCGGGUAUUCACUGUCCUUCGCAUGGGGGGUGGGUGGAAAGGUUUUUUCUUGGUGGGGGAUGGGCUCGCGGCCUAUCAGCUUGUUGGUGGGGUGAUGGCUUACCAAGGCUUUGACGGGUAACCGGCCUGAGAGGGUGACCGGUCACAUUGGGACUGAGAUACGGCCCAG
This 256-nucleotide ribosomal RNA is filed under the name uncultured bacterium. Its description in RNAcentral is "partial 16S ribosomal RNA". It matches the Rfam family "Bacterial small subunit ribosomal RNA", at positions 82 to 334 of the family's 1533-position model. The record is from RNAcentral.